Molecule: ribosomal RNA, 301 nt
Filed under: uncultured bacterium
Lineage: Bacteria
Description: partial 16S ribosomal RNA
Rfam family: Bacterial small subunit ribosomal RNA
Source: RNAcentral
CAGCCGCCACGGUAAUACGUAGGGUGCAAGCGUUAAUCGGAAUUACUGGGCGUAAAGCGUGCGCAGGCGGUUAUAUAAGACAGAUGUGAAAUCCCCGGGCUCAACCUGGGAACUGCAUUUGUGACUGUAUAGCUAGAGUACGGCAGAGGGGGAUGGAAUUCCGCGUGUAGCAGUGAAAUGCGUAGAUAUGCGGAGGAACACCGAUGGCGAAGGCAAUCCCCUGGGCCUGUACUGACGCUCAUGCACGAAAGCGUGGGGAGCAAACAUGAUUAGAUACCCCCGUAGUCCCUGUCUCUUAUAC